UACGGGGGGGCAAGCGUUGUUCGGAAUUACUGGGCGUAAAGGGCGCGUAGGCGGCUCUUCAAGUCAGUCGUGAAAUCUCCGGGCUUAACCUGGAAAAGUCGAUUGAUACUGUCGAGCUAGAGUGUGGAAGAGGCAACCGGAAUUCCGUGUGUAGCGGUGAAAUGCGUAGAUAUACGGAGGAACACCUGCGGCGAAGGCGGGUUGCUGGGCCAACACUGACGCUGAGGCGCGAAAGUUAGGGUAGCAAACGGG
This 252-nucleotide ribosomal RNA is filed under the name uncultured bacterium. Its description in RNAcentral is "partial 16S ribosomal RNA". It matches the Rfam family "Bacterial small subunit ribosomal RNA", at positions 524 to 776 of the family's 1533-position model. The record is from RNAcentral.